GUGCCAGAAAGAGGCUGACAAAGUUUCAUAGAACAGGGACUGUCCAAGGCAGGCACCAGCAAUGCAAGCAGCCCCCAUACUGCUUCACAAAUCUGCCUCAACCCUGCACCAGGGGAGGGGAGGAUAUUCAGUGUCUAUAUCCAUUCCAGUCUUUGACCUCU
RNAcentral lists this small RNA (161 nucleotides) under Chrysemys picta bellii (western painted turtle). Its description in RNAcentral is "TUC338 (ENSCPBG00000012398.1)". The record is from RNAcentral. Lineage: Eukaryota; Metazoa; Chordata; Testudines; Emydidae.